AGUACCAUUAAAUUUUAGAACACCCGUAGAAUGGUUUGAAUUACAAAGCGUAAUUUAAAUAUCAUAUUUUUAUUUUAUCAUUAAUCUCAAUUUGUUUUUAAAACACGAGUGAAGUACCGAAGAGACUGUUUCUAGAUAAAUAUACGCUGAAUAAUCGCUGAUACAGCUUCGUAUACCAGUCUUGACCUUCAGUAUAAACGUACUGCUUAUCUUAGAGUGACUAAUUUUUUAUAAAUUGCAAGUGAAUAUCACGUCAUGUUAGUGUUAGAUAAUGGGGUGAGAGGAGUUUGAAUACUUGAAACAAUCGGUCGAAGGGGAAUGUCAGGAUUGUGGAGUUUUGGUAAACCUGGUAAAGCUUUUAAUUUCCUCGGUAAAAUUUCAAGGAGUGGGCAGAUUGAGGCCUUGGGAUCAACCAGGAAAAAGGGGUGAUUCGUUGCGUAGAUUGGGCAGAUUGACACCACGGAAUCGGAUCACUUCUUACCAAUGAUCGACUACCCUAUCCGCAGCCUUCUCUGGAUAAUGGCUCCAAAGUGGGAGCCGAAACGUCGGGGUGUGAAUAAACGGUGUAUUAGAAAAUUGGAGUAAUUAUAAUUGGAACAGUUGUAAUCAGCUUUUAUGGUGAUUGUGAAAACAACCCACUAAUCUUUAACAAAAUAUUUUAAUAAAGACUUGAAGAAAAGUCGAAACGUCAAAUUUUAUCUUUCUUUCAAAAAUUAUUUGAAAAAACUAAUUUUAAAACAAAAGAAACAUAAAAUCAAGAACAUUUAGGAGCAUUUAUACCUAAAUUUCUUAUAUCUAAGACCUUUUGCUUUUAAGUUUUUUCUGCUUUAAAAUUAUUUUUUUCUAAUAAUUUUUGAAAGACAGAUAAAAAUUGACGUUUCGACUUAUUUCAGUCUCUAUCAAAAUAUGGUAUUGACACUGACAAUUUGCGUAUUCAUAUUAAUCAAUAGAUCACGAUCACCUACAUGAAAUAAACAUCAUAAUAAGAAGAAAAUCAAAAUAAAAA
Diorhabda sublineata is the source of this 1006-nucleotide long non-coding RNA. RefSeq lists it as uncharacterized. The transcript has 3 exons. The record is from RefSeq and is a predicted model, not a curated record. NCBI's taxonomy places the organism in Eukaryota, Metazoa, Arthropoda, Insecta, Coleoptera, Chrysomelidae.